AGGAUUAAUAUGCUGGAGCUGCAAC
RNAcentral lists this small RNA (25 nucleotides) under Arabidopsis thaliana (thale cress). RNAcentral describes it as "ATSL223810". Lineage: Eukaryota; Viridiplantae; Streptophyta; Magnoliopsida; Brassicales; Brassicaceae. The record is from RNAcentral.